GAUCCUGGCUCAGGAUGAACGCUAGCGGCAGGCUUAAUACAUGCAAGUCGUGGGGCAGCGCAGUGUAGCAAUACAGUGGGCGGCGACCGGCAAACGGGUGCGGAACACGUACACAACCUUCCUACAAGUGGGGAAUAGCCCAGAGAAAUUUGGAUUAAUACCCCGUAACAUAUAAAGAUGGCAUCAUUUUUAUAUUAUAGCUACGGCGCUUGUUGAUGGGUGUGCGGCUGAUUAGGUAGUUGGCGGGGUAAUGGCCCACCAAGCCUGCGAUCAGUAGCUGAUGUGAGAGCAUGAUCAGCCACACGGGCACUGAGACACGGGCCCGACUCCUACGGGAGGCAGCAGUAAGGAAUAUUGGACAAUGGGCGCAAGCCUGAUCCAGCCAUGCCGCGUGAAGGAUUAAGGUCCUCUGGAUUGUAAACUUCUUUUAUAAGGGACGAAAAAGGGAAUUCUUUCUCACUUGACGGUACCUUAUGAAUAAGCACCGGCUAACUCCGUG
This 499-nucleotide ribosomal RNA is filed under the name uncultured bacterium. RNAcentral describes it as "bacterial SSU rRNA". It matches the Rfam family "Bacterial small subunit ribosomal RNA", at positions 15 to 507 of the family's 1533-position model. The record is from RNAcentral.